UGGGGAAUAUUGGACAAUGGGCGAAAGCCUGAUCCAGCCAUGCCGCGUGUGUGAAGAAGGUCUUCGGAUUGUAAAGCACUUUAAGUUGGGAGGAAGGGCAUUAACCUAAUACGUUAGUGUUUUGACGUUACCGACAGAAUAAGCACCGGCUAACUCUGUGCCAGCAGCCGCGGUAAUACAGAGGGUGCAAGCGUUAAUCGGAAUUACUGGGCGUAAAGCGCGCGUAGGUGGUUUGUUAAGUUGGAUGUGAAAUCCCCGGGCUCAACCUGGGAACUGCAUUCAAAACUGACUGACUAGAGUAUGGUAGAGGGUGGUGGAAUUUCCUGUGUAGCGGUGAAAUGCGUAGAUAUAG
Molecule: ribosomal RNA, 352 nt
Filed under: uncultured bacterium
Lineage: Bacteria
Description: partial 16S ribosomal RNA
Rfam family: Bacterial small subunit ribosomal RNA
Source: RNAcentral